CACGGCUAUAUUAUGAGGCUGGUUUUAGGGCAAGAAGAAGCCUUGACAGUCAUUCAAACGUGUCACUUCAUGGUCCAGUAUGCUUAAGUCAUUUCCUCAAGGCCACACAGUCAAUGGCAGAGCUGGAAAUGACUUCAAAAAGGAGACUCCAAGUCCAAGCCUGUUCCAGCUACAAAAGUGGCAUUCCUGGUCUUCAGCCCUGCGGGCUUGGCUCGUCGUAUGGUUUUAGCUUCAUGGGUGUGUUCCCUGAGACAGGCUGUAGUUUGCCCACAGAUGUUCUUCAGACCUGGUGUCAGGAAGAGCUCUCUUCUUACAAGCUGAACUUUCCCAAAGGGGAAUGAGCUCCCUUGGGAGAUUGUGCACUUCCUCUCCUUGGAAGACUUCAGUCAAAGGCUGAGUGACCACUGUUUGGUUGUUCUGAAAGUCGGUGAGUCUAACAUCCCUAAAGGAUAACAGUUCCUGCAGCGGAGACCUAGAAAGCUCUGACCUAGGCACUGGAGUAAAAGGACUGAGUAAACUAGAGUGCCUUCCUCCACGGAGCUUCCAGGUGAGCAGGAAGAAAGGAGCAAAAGACAUAAGGUCAAUAUGAAUAAAAUGUGUGAAAUCCACA
This 610-nucleotide long non-coding RNA is filed under the name Monodelphis domestica (gray short-tailed opossum). RNAcentral describes it as "lncRNA (ENSMODG00000032366.2)". The record is from RNAcentral. Lineage: Eukaryota; Metazoa; Chordata; Mammalia; Didelphimorphia; Didelphidae.